RNAcentral lists this ribosomal RNA (40 nucleotides) under Russula tawai. Its description in RNAcentral is "partial 28S ribosomal RNA". The record is from RNAcentral. Lineage: Eukaryota; Fungi; Basidiomycota; Agaricomycetes; Russulales; Russulaceae. RNAcentral also lists the same sequence under 1 other name.
UCUUGACCUCAAAUCAGGUGAGACUACCUGCUGAACUUAA